Molecule: long non-coding RNA, 617 nt
Organism: Homo sapiens (human)
Lineage: Eukaryota; Metazoa; Chordata; Mammalia; Primates; Hominidae
Exons: 2
Source: RefSeq, a predicted model, not a curated record
GACGCAGGCCGAGCAAAGCUGCCGAGAAGAAAUUCCGCGUCUUCCAGGACUGGAAAGAAACAGCCCUCAGCGUCUCCACCUGAAAACACCCAGCCAGGUGUGUGGUGUUUCCACUAAGCCCACUGUUCUCUCAGGAGCUCCAGGUGGAAGACUUCACCAUCCUUCCGUGGAGAGAUAGAAGUGGACGGCACCAUUUGGAAAAGAACUCAGCACCUUAUCUUUGCCUGGAUUGCUUAAACAGCUAAAACAGCCUUUUAAAGAAGCAUAAUAUUGAAAACAAUCGUCCUAGUUCCCAUGUCUUAGACAUCCUCGUAAAUAUCUGCUGGGCAUGACCUCCUCUUCACAUGCCCCUUUCGGAGAGGGACUGAAACCUCCCCUUUCACAAAGAAGGAACAGCAGGCGGCAAACAGCAGAGCUGGGAUUUGAACUCAGGUCUCCCCAGCUGCAGGGAGGCAGGGCCAUUAACUUUAUACGGAAAGAUAUGCAUUUUAAAAUUGAAAACAAAGUAUGCAAAGAACUCAUGGAAAACCAGAGAGGAAACAAGGAGAUGACACGGAACAGCAAAAGAAGGACAGAUAAUAGAAAAUGCAAAAUCAGAAAAUAAAAAGUCUAUUUUA